This 310-nucleotide unclassified non-coding RNA is filed under the name plant metagenome. RNAcentral's name for it is "partial contains 5.8S ribosomal RNA, internal transcribed spacer 2, and large subunit ribosomal RNA". The stretch from base 1 to 105 matches the Rfam family "5.8S ribosomal RNA", at positions 50 to 154 of the family's 154-position model. The record is from RNAcentral.
GAAAUGCGAUAAGUAGUGUGAAUUGCAGAAUUCAGUGAAUCAUCGAAUCUUUGAACGCACAUUGCGCCCCUUGGUAUUCCAUGGGGCAUGCCUGUUCGAGUGUCAUUUGUACCCUCAAGCUCUGCUUGGUGUUGGGUGUUUGUCCCCGUCUCCGCGCGUGGACUCGCCCCAAAGUGAUUGGCAGCCGGCGUACUGGUCCCGGAGCGCAGCACAUGUCGCGCAAACGAGUGCCUUGGUACGGCGGCGUCCAUAAGCCCCUCUCUCACGCUCUUGACCUCGGAUCAGGUAGGGAUACCCGCUGAACUUAAGC